Non-coding RNA from Pogona vitticeps (central bearded dragon), 353 nucleotides. Lineage: Eukaryota; Metazoa; Chordata; Lepidosauria; Squamata; Agamidae. The record is from RefSeq and is a predicted model, not a curated record.
GCGAACAUAAAGCCGCACCUCUCCAGAUAGUCAGUACAUAUAAAGAACUCAAACGAGGCAUUCCUUGUACCAAAAAUUGACCAAGAGGAUCCCCAUCAGGAUGCCUCCCACUCUGUUCUUAACGGUAGUUGCAGGAAUGCUUUGUUACGUCAGCUCAGGGGAUUGUCUCUACACUGAAAGCUUAUAGCUGGAGAAACCUUUGCCACCUGAAUGCCAUCCCUGGUAGAAGGUGAAGCAAAAAUAUCCCAAACCCCACACUCCUGAAGGACCAGAUUCAUCGACCACAAUUGCACCGAUAACACCAGGAUUGUCCCUGAGACUGGCCGACACGUACAACUACUGUGAGGGCCGCG